RNAcentral lists this ribosomal RNA (253 nucleotides) under uncultured bacterium. RNAcentral's name for it is "partial 16S ribosomal RNA". It matches the Rfam family "Bacterial small subunit ribosomal RNA", at positions 524 to 776 of the family's 1533-position model. The record is from RNAcentral.
UACGUAGGAGGCAAGCGUUGUCCGGAAUCACUGGGCGUAAAGCGCGUGUAGGUGGAAGAGGAAGUCUGCUGUGAAAGCGCCUGGCUUAACCGGGCGAGGUCGGUGGAAACUCCUCAUCUGGAGGGCGGUAGAGGGGGGUGGAAUUCCGGGUGUAGUGGUGAAAUGCGUAGAGAUCCGGAGGAACACCUGUGGCGAAGGCGGCCCCCUGGGCCGCACCUGACGCUGAGGCGCGAGAGCGUGGGGAGCGAACCGG